Gasterosteus aculeatus aculeatus (three-spined stickleback) is the source of this 350-nucleotide non-coding RNA. The record is from RefSeq and is a predicted model, not a curated record. NCBI's taxonomy places the organism in Eukaryota, Metazoa, Chordata, Actinopteri, Perciformes, Gasterosteidae.
CUUUGUUGGGCCAAUCGGGAGGAGGGCGCUUCUCAGUCUCCCAGGGUGCUUCGCUCUCCAGUUCAGUGUACUCCACCACUCGCUCCACCGAGGUCAUCUGAAGACAGCAAAUAUGCAUUACACCCUCGUGGCCAGGAGUGUGACUGCGUAGGUCAAAGCCAGACCAACGGAGCCAGCGUCCAGCUCUAUGACAACCAGCAGGCAUCCGAAGAUGGUGAUGCUAACAAAGAUGGCGCACAUGCCGUCGAGACGAACGGCGAACCAGCGAGAGGUGGUGAGGAACAAGAACCAGGCCUCUGUGCAGAAAGAGGAAAUACAUCAACGGGCCGCCUCAAAAGAGUCGGAUUUUA